AGAUUCCGGAGAGGGAGCCUGAGAAACGGCUACCACAUCUAAGGAAGGCAGCAGGCGCGCAAAUUACCCAAUGAAAACAGUUUCGAGGUAGUGACGAGAAAUAACAAUACAGGGCAUUUUUUGCUUUGUAAUUGGAAUGAUGGGGAUCUAAAACCCUUUCAGAGUAACAAUUGGAGGGCAAGUCUGGUGCCAGCAGCCGCGGUAAUUCCAGCUCCAAUAGCGUAUAUUAGAGUUGUUGCAGUUAAAAAGCUCGUAGUUGGAUUUCUGUCUUGGUCGUCCGGUUCCGCUUUAUAGUGGAUACUUGGUUCGCCCUUGGCAUUUUUUCGGUAUCUUUCCCCACUUAAUUGUGCGGGUUUGAUUUCCGGAACUUUUACUUUGAGAAAAAUAGAGUGUUUCAAGCAGGCUUGUCGCCUUGAAUACUGCAGCAUGGAAUA
This 434-nucleotide ribosomal RNA is filed under the name uncultured alveolate. RNAcentral describes it as "bacterial SSU rRNA". It matches the Rfam family "Eukaryotic small subunit ribosomal RNA", at positions 378 to 816 of the family's 1831-position model. The record is from RNAcentral.